RNAcentral lists this ribosomal RNA (253 nucleotides) under uncultured bacterium. RNAcentral describes it as "partial 16S ribosomal RNA". It matches the Rfam family "Bacterial small subunit ribosomal RNA", at positions 524 to 776 of the family's 1533-position model. The record is from RNAcentral.
UACGGGGGGGGCAAGCGUUGUUCGGAAUUACUGGGCGUAAAGGGCUCGUAGGCGGCCAACUAAGUCAGACGUGAAAUCCCUCGGCUUAACCGGGGAACUGCGUCUGAUACUGGAUGGCUAGAGGUUGGGAGAGGGAUGCGGAAUUCCAGGUGUAGCGGUGAAAUGCGUAGAUAUCUGGAGGAACACCGGUGGCGAAGGCGGCAUCCUGGACCAAUUCUGACGCUGAGGAGCGAAAGCCAGGGGAGCAAAUGGG